Molecule: ribosomal RNA, 280 nt
Filed under: uncultured bacterium
Lineage: Bacteria
Description: partial 16S ribosomal RNA
Rfam family: Bacterial small subunit ribosomal RNA
Source: RNAcentral
AAUCAACGCUGGCGGCGUGCCUAACACAUGCAAGUCGAACGAGAAGGUGACUUCGGUCACUGGAUAGUGGCGUCCGGGUGAGUAACACGUAGGUAAUCUACCUUCGGGUGGGGAAUAACGUCUCGAAAGAGACGCUAAUACCGCAUAAUGCAGCGGCACCUAAUGGUGAUUAGUUGUUAAAGCGGGGGAUCUUCGGACCUCGCGCCUGAAGAGGAGCCUGCGGCAGAUUAGCUAGUUGGUGAGGUAAUGGCUCACCAAGGCUUCGAUCUGUAGCUGGUCU